AGAUUGAACGCUGGCGGCAUGCCUUACACAUGCAAGUCGAACGGUAGAGUAGCAAUACUCGAGAGUGGCGAACGGGUGAGUAAUAUAUCGGAACGUGCCCAGUCGUGGGGGAUAACGUAGAGAAAUUUACGCUAAUACCGCAUACGAUCUACGGAUGAAAGCGGGGGAUCGCAAGACCUCGCGCGAUUGGAGCGGCUGAUAUCAGAUUAGGUUGUUGGUGAGGUAAAAGCUCACCAAGCCGACGAUCUGUAGCUGGUUUGAGAGAACGACCAGCCACACUGGGACUGAGACACGGCCCAGACUCCUACGGGAGGCAGCAGUGGGAAUUUGGACAAUGGGCGAAAGCCUGAUCCAGCAAUGCCGCGUGCAGGAAGAAGGCCUUCGGUGUAAACUGCUUUUGUACGGAACGAAAAGGCUCUUCUAAUAAAGGGCCAUGACGUACCGUAAGAAUAAGCACGGCUAACUACGUGCCAGCAGCCGCGGUAACUCUA
Molecule: ribosomal RNA, 491 nt
Filed under: uncultured soil bacterium
Lineage: Bacteria
Description: bacterial SSU rRNA
Rfam family: Bacterial small subunit ribosomal RNA
Source: RNAcentral